GUACAGUGAUGACAUUCUUAGGACACCUUUGGAGGUUGUGACCUAUGAAACUAAUUCUCGAACUGAGUACG
This is a small nucleolar RNA of 71 nucleotides. Its record names the gene SNORD58. It matches the Rfam family "Small nucleolar RNA SNORD58". Rfam says of the family: snoRNA U58 is found in introns 1, 3 and 6 of the ribosomal protein RPL17 gene in humans. U58 is a member of the C/D class of snoRNA which contain C (UGAUGA) and D (CUGA) box motifs. Most of the members of the box C/D family function in directing site-specific 2'-O-methylation of substrate RNAs. The record is from Ensembl.